RNAcentral lists this transfer RNA (71 nucleotides) under Ictidomys tridecemlineatus (thirteen-lined ground squirrel). RNAcentral describes it as "Spermophilus tridecemlineatus (thirteen-lined ground squirrel) tRNA". It matches the Rfam family "tRNA". Rfam says of the family: Transfer RNA (tRNA) molecules are approximately 80 nucleotides in length. Their secondary structure includes four short double-helical elements and three loops (D, anti-codon, and T loops). Further hydrogen bonds mediate the characteristic L-shaped molecular structure. tRNAs have two regions of fundamental functional importance: the anti-codon, which is responsible for specific mRNA codon recognition, and the 3' end, to which the tRNAs corresponding amino acid is attached (by aminoacyl-tRNA synthetases). tRNAs cope with the degeneracy of the genetic code in two manners: having more than one tRNA (with a specific anti-codon) for a particular amino acid; and 'wobble' base-pairing, i.e. permitting non-standard base-pairing at the 3rd anti-codon position. The record is from Rfam by way of RNAcentral. Lineage: Eukaryota; Metazoa; Chordata; Mammalia; Rodentia; Sciuridae.
GGGGUUGUGGCUCAGUGGUAGAGUGCUUGCCUACCAUGUAGAAAGCACUGGGUUUGAUCCUCAGCACCCCA